CGCAGGGGCAGUUCUCGGCCAGCCCCGCGGGCAACCAGCAGGGAAACGGAGGCUCCCGCCGAGCGCAGAGGAAGGGCGGCCCUCUCCCAUUCGGAGCUGGAGGCCGGCCAGGGAUGUCCAGCGUCCUUGCCCGGGGAGUUCCCCGGGCUCCGGCCCAAAGUCCAGUGUCCUCGGUUCUGAGCACUUGUUUACGUAGAGAUGCUCUGUGUUAGCUUCUGAUUGAUUCCCAGAGGUCUCGACACCCCCACCCAGUGUGUGGCCUGCCUUCCUGGAUCAGGUGAACCCGCUGAGAGACAGAAGAGCUUCUUCCUCAUCAAAGGCUGUGGAGCAUUUAAAAAACGAUUGCAACCUUCUGAUCUUUAGAGAUGUAUAUAGCCUCGAGUUGGAUUGGGCUUUGCGAUCUAUUUUGAAAGCCAUUUCAACAAUGGGACUCCUGGAGAAAUGACAGUCCCUUGCUGCUGCCUUUAAUUGGAGAGGAGCUCAGAGACCCGAGAUGAUAAUUAUGACGCCUUGCAUGCCGAGCUCGUCAAAAGCCUGCCAUUGUCCUUGCUGUUACCCUGAACAGCUGUGACAAACCAAACCCUGCAGACCCCGGAGCGUGCCCUGGGUCUCUCAGCCAGGCCUUACCUGGGAACUCUGAGUGAUGGUGACAUGUAGGCCGCAGGAAGACACACAGUAAACCCAGGAGUCUGUGAUGAGCUCAGAAGAGGCCUCCUUCGAAACCGCCUGUUGGAGUCGGCAGAGCCACAGGGGGGAAGGAUCCCGGUCCCUGAAUGAUCCUGUGGAGGACAGACACCGCUGAUCAGGAACAACCACUCCAGGAAUCUCACCUCCCCACCUGGGUUGUGAGGUCUUCUGGGGCAAGGAUGGCGCCUGCUCUUCCUUGGGCCCACUCUCCCAGCCCGGUCAGCCGGAGGACCGGACACCUAAGAGCUGCUUGCCUCUCCUUGAACUCUGAAAGCAGUUGGCGAUCAGAAAGGAGGAAGCUUGGGGCCCGCUCUGGGCAUCCUCAUGUAUUCUCCACGGCGCUCUUGCAGACCAGGCAGACACCGUCCGUCUCUCGGGAACAUCCUCCAUCCUCCCAUCUCAUCUGAGCUGCCUUCUGUGUUUAGGCCCGUCUCUCAGCUGCUCUCAAGAAACUCUCUUGACCCACAGGUUCCCGAGACAGCUUGUUAUACCCUGACCAAUGCCAUCUGUGCCUAAGAACUUGUCUUCCUAAGGAGACCUAAAUCCCUAGAAGACAGGGUCUUGCCCUGGAACUCACUGCCCUGAAAAAGAGCCUUGUUUGUCUAGACGCUUGGAAAAUGCAUGCUCUUUCUAAAACCAAGUUACCUCGAGCAUGGCUAUGAACUCAUCAGUAAAUGUAUGAGAAAUGUCUUUAUAAGACCGCCACCUGGAAGGAGGAUAUGUGCUUUGCUUUAUGAGAAACCCUGGAAAAGGGAGAAAGGAUUUGUCCUUACAGAGUUCAACUUGACUUGGAGCCGGUGCCUUUGGUUCUUGAUGGUUCUUGGAUUGGGCCAGGCCCCUCAGCUCCAAGUGGGGUGUCUCACACUUUGAUUCUGGUCAAGCUGGCCCCUGGCUUGGCUGGAGUUACUGCCUGCUGCCAGUUUCUGGGGAGGCAUUUGGAGACCCCAGGGAUCUUCCUUGCCUUCUGCCAUCUGUGGCCACUGGGCGGGGUCUGAGCGUCUGAGAAGGGACAGGUGGCCUGGCUGGCACAUCAGCUAGACAUCUCCUGGGGCUGGUCAGUACCAUCUUUAAACCAGCUGGCAGAGACUCCAGAGGGGUUUCUCUCCCUGUCAUGCAUUUAUAGCACCACAGGAAAAGCCAAGGCUGGGUCUUGCCAUAGAUACAACCCUGGGCAGUUUUUCUCUCUGUUCCAAACUGUAGCUGCAGCCCCUGCUUCGAGCCUAGGAGGCAGAAGCUGCUGAACUUGUCUUCUCUUGAAUGCCAAACUAUAUGCUUUGCACAGGGCUCGGCACAGAGUAGGCAGCCAGGAAAUAUUUACCGAAUGGCCAAUAGAAUGUUCACCUUCCCUUAGGGGAGGCCCAAUGCCAUUGAGAGAGUAAGGAUUGAACUCCAGGAACAGAAUACAGAAGAAGGCAUGAGCCAGCCUCACUUGCGUCUGCGCAAUCUUCCCAGAUUUCACUUUUCCUUUCCGGGUUCCCAGGAUUUCUCCAGGAACUCUAAUGUUAGGGCAAGGGUGUGAUCCACUUUUCCUAACCCUUUAAACCUGUGCUACUUCAAGCAUAAUCCAUGGACCAGCAGCAUCAGCCUCAUCUGGGAACUUGUUGGAAAUGCAGACUCUCAGGCCCCACCCCAGACCUAAUGAAUCAGCUUCUGCCCUUGAAGAAGAUCAGGUGAUUUAUGUGCCUGUUACAGUUGGAGAAGUACUGCCUUAAGCAGCUAGCGUGUGAACAUAGGACUUGUCACCUGGCCCAGAGGUCAGCCGCUAGCGUGUGGCUAACUACAGUUGGGCUUCUGCCUACCUUGAUGACUCAGACACCUUAUUGAGUCAGAUAUUUUCUGUCUCUCCAGUCCUUGAAUACUGUCCAGAACAUAGUAGGCACUCAAUAAAUAGUCGAUGAAUAAAUGCUAAAUUAUUCUUAUGCUGUUUUCUCCAUUCAGGGUGCUUAUAGUGUGCUGGACCUCUGCUUCUGGACAUAAAUUGCAAGUUAUUAAAAAGGUUUUUUUUGGU
Molecule: long non-coding RNA, 2695 nt
Filed under: Sus scrofa (pig)
Lineage: Eukaryota; Metazoa; Chordata; Mammalia; Artiodactyla; Suidae
Description: lncRNA (ENSSSCG00025048268.1)
Source: RNAcentral